UCUUUGAGAUCUACCAAAUCUGUGGAUAUGCAAUACACUGAAGUGUGGAGAUGGAAUGAAGUUGAAAGGAUUCAUGAAUAAAAUUGUUGGCCUUGUAAUCCAUUUUUCUUCACAACCCAGUGAACACCUG
RNAcentral lists this long non-coding RNA (130 nucleotides) under Junco hyemalis (dark-eyed junco). RNAcentral's name for it is "lncRNA (ENSJHYG00000002583.1)". Lineage: Eukaryota; Metazoa; Chordata; Aves; Passeriformes; Passerellidae. The record is from RNAcentral.